Long non-coding RNA from Aedes aegypti (yellow fever mosquito), 305 nucleotides. RefSeq lists it as uncharacterized. Lineage: Eukaryota; Metazoa; Arthropoda; Insecta; Diptera; Culicidae. The transcript is spliced from 2 exons. The record is from RefSeq and is a predicted model, not a curated record.
CAAAAUCUUUACUGCUGCGUUUAAUGUGUAUCAAAUUUUUAAAUUCAUCGAGCGUUCUAAUUUUUAGAAUAAAAUCAUUUGGGCAUAAGGAAUAAUUGAGUGUUUUCACAUGGGGCGCAAAAGCAAACCUGGAAAAAUCACCGGACCAUAAAUUAGCCGAGAAAAAGAAUCGUUCCGCGAAGCAACCAACCCCAAAAAGCUCACUUCGGCUGGAAAAACUACGCCAAUACCAAGCCGAUCGCAUCAUAGCGGAAACUCCCGAGCAACGUCAGGCCCGUUUGGACAAUCUCCGAAAAAUAUCAGCG